Molecule: ribosomal RNA, 253 nt
Filed under: uncultured bacterium
Lineage: Bacteria
Description: partial 16S ribosomal RNA
Rfam family: Bacterial small subunit ribosomal RNA
Source: RNAcentral
UACGUAGGGUGCAAGCGUUGUCCGGAAUUAUUGGGCGUAAAGAGCUCGUAGGCGGCUUGUCGCGUCUUCUGUGAAAACCCGAGGCUCAACCUCGGGCCUGCAGUGGGUACGGGCAGACUAGAGUGCGGUAGGGGAGAUUGGAAUUCCUGGUGUAGCGGUGGAAUGCGCAGAUAUCAGGAGGAACACCAAUGGCGAAGGCAGAUCUCUGGGCCGUAACUGACGCUGAGGAGCGAAAGCAUGGGGAGCGAACAGG